This is a long non-coding RNA of Echinops telfairi (small Madagascar hedgehog), 1468 nucleotides long. RefSeq lists it as uncharacterized. The transcript has 3 exons. NCBI's taxonomy places the organism in Eukaryota, Metazoa, Chordata, Mammalia, Afrosoricida, Tenrecidae. The record is from RefSeq and is a predicted model, not a curated record.
UCUAAAUCAAUAUAUAUUUCAACAGUGUGGAGAUCUAAGCACAAGAUCGUGGUCACCUUGAAUUCUCUGGCCCAGGAUUUGCAGAGGGAAAUCAGCCACUGCUUUGUAACAGCGAAUCUUAGACUUCAUGAAGAUCCACAGAUGCACUGGACACUAACAUUGAUCAUCUGGAGGGAUGGCACGGUGUCAAAGGUUCCAUUCCAGAUCUUAUCCAGAACCUGAUUGAAAAUUUCAACACACCACUGGAGGCUGUUCUUCCAAGAUGAUUUUGUCUAAAGUCUGACAAGCUGCCCUGGCUGUAAGCAAGGAAUGCAUUCAGGACUGAGGGCCAGGACCUUGUUCCAGCACCUGUUGGACUGAGCUUCCUCUGAACAUGGUGCCUGAGUGUCUCCUGAAGGUCAUGAGAUAAACAAAGCAAAGUUGUAUUAAAAUUGACUCAUGGAAUCUCCCUGGUACUGACCUGCUGGGAGACCCAGCACCACCAUCAGACUGAGGAGGAAGGAGGCAGGCAUUUCUGGAUCAACGUCUUCCUGACUCAGCAGGUUCUGGAGUCCAUUGAUGGGGAGGUUGCAUUUAAGUAAUAAGCAUUUGCCAAUGAGUAUUACUGGCUAGUAUGCAAGGUGGGGCUCAUGAACAGCAUGCUAAUGGACAGGUCCCACAAUGAAACAAGAAAAUAUCUCUAGAACUGGUUACUGAAGCAAGCUGGAUGCAGGCACGUGUCAGUGGUGGGAGUGAUGUAGCCACAGGAAUACACUGAAUUUGUAGUCUCCCUCGAGUUCAGUAUUUGCAAUCAGAAUGCUAUCAUAGUCCCAGUGUAUGUGGAUUGUUUGGUUUGAACGCAUAACAAUUCUAAAAAUGGAAGAAACACUGAAUUGUUUCUCCAGACACAGGGACAUUUUCACUCACUUCUCACAGUGCAUAAGCAGUAGCGUAGAGAAGUUCCCAGAGGUGAUCCAACCAUGGCUGGUAAUUUCCAACUGCUGACCGUGCCAUCUAGUUGUAAGUAGUUGUAGAUGAGAUUUCAACAUAAUUUUUCAUGGCUCUUUCUCAAGUAAAAUACGUAUAAGGAUAGAGCCUGAAAAAAAGUAUUUUUGCUUUGAAAUGUAUCUAGAACAAAAGGUUAAGUCCUCAGCAAAUAACAUAAAAAGUGGACAUUCUAUUCCUGCAAUAUUACAGUCUCAGAAAUUCCCACCUGAAGUUCUACCCUACCACUAGGGUCACUAUGACAAAAUUAGAGAAGAGAUCUGACAAAAACACUUCAAACCAUACUUUACUAAGUUUCAUGUUCAUAUCAUUUACAAAUUCUUCAAAGACCUUGGCUUUCCUGGUUUCACACAGUAGUCUGUUUAUUUAAUCUGUUUACUCAGAUGUGAUUUCUUGUUCUUUUAUUUUUCAAAAAGAAUCCCACUGUUUUGCUGAAAUAUGAGUGUUUUGUUUUUUGUUCAGAUCAUUCUAGAAACUCAUUUUA